Microcebus murinus (gray mouse lemur) is the source of this 396-nucleotide non-coding RNA. The record is from RefSeq and is a predicted model, not a curated record. Lineage: Eukaryota; Metazoa; Chordata; Mammalia; Primates; Cheirogaleidae.
CUAACCCAAGCUGGUUUCCAGACCCAGAGCCCACCCAGGGAAGGGGGACCAGGGUCGCACAGAAGCUCCUGCAAGGACAGCGUGAGCCUCGGUGACACAGGCAUGAAGGUCAGGGCAUGGCAAGACCCUCCCCAGAGCCCUCCUGGGUGCUGAUGCCUCAGCCCCGGUGGGUGGAGGCCACCCUGGGCCAGCUCCACUGCAGCUCCUCCCCCUCCUGGGGCACGGGGGGCGCGCCCCACACCAUGACGGGGCCGGGCAGACAGGGAGAGAGGGCUGGACGGAGCACUCGGCCCUGCCCUGCCCGGGCUCCAGGGGACCAGGCCGGACACAGGAGGCACAGUGUUUGCAGGGGAGCUUGGUCCAUGUAAGACACAAUCAUAGCCUGCCAUGGAGACG